This 488-nucleotide ribosomal RNA is filed under the name uncultured bacterium. RNAcentral describes it as "partial 16S ribosomal RNA". It matches the Rfam family "Bacterial small subunit ribosomal RNA", at positions 28 to 507 of the family's 1533-position model. The record is from RNAcentral.
GACGAACGCUGGCGGCGUGCUUAACACAUGCAAGUCGAACGGAAAGGCCCCCACCUUGGUGGGGGUGCUCGAGUGGCGAACGGGUGAGUAACACGUGGGUGAUCUGCCCUGUACUUCGGGAUAAGCUUGGGAAACUGGGUCUAAUACCGGAUAGGACCAUGGUUUAGUGUCUCAUGGUGGAAAAAUUAUUGUUUUGGUGCAGGAUGAGCUCGCGGCCUAUCAGCUUGUUGGUGGGGUAAUGGCCUACCAAGGCGUCGACGGGUAGCCGGCCUGAGAGGGUGGACGGCCACAUUGGGACUGAGAUACGGCCCAGACUCCUACGGGAGGCAGCAGUGGGGAAUAUUGCACAAUGGGCGCAGCCUGAUGCAGCGACGCCGCGUGGGGGAUGACGGCCUUCGGGUUGUAAACUCCUUUCGUUAGGGACGAAGCCACACCUUUUUUGGGUGUGGUGACGGUACCUUUGUUAAGAAGCACCGGCUAACUACGUG